Molecule: ribosomal RNA, 253 nt
Filed under: uncultured bacterium
Lineage: Bacteria
Description: partial 16S ribosomal RNA
Rfam family: Bacterial small subunit ribosomal RNA
Source: RNAcentral
UACGAAGGGGGCUAGCGUUGCUCGGAAUUACUGGGCGUAAAGCGCACGUAGGCGGCUUUCUAAGUCGGGGGUGAAAUCCUGGAGCUCAACUCCAGAACUGCCUUCGAUACUGGAAAGCUCGAGUCCGGGAGAGGUGAGUGGAACUGCGAGUGUAGAGGUGAAAUUCGUAGAUAUUCGGAAGAACACCGGUUGCGAAGGCGGCUCACUGGCUAAGUUCUGACGCUGAGGUGCGAAAGCGUGGGGAGCAAACAGG